AGCUAGGUGGCUCAGUGGAUAGAGUGCUGGACCUGGAAUCAGGAAGACCUGAGUUCAAAUCUAGCCUUAGCCA
Molecule: transfer RNA, 73 nt
Filed under: Monodelphis domestica (gray short-tailed opossum)
Lineage: Eukaryota; Metazoa; Chordata; Mammalia; Didelphimorphia; Didelphidae
Rfam family: tRNA
About the family: Transfer RNA (tRNA) molecules are approximately 80 nucleotides in length.
Source: Rfam by way of RNAcentral